This 440-nucleotide ribosomal RNA is filed under the name uncultured bacterium. RNAcentral's name for it is "partial 16S ribosomal RNA". It matches the Rfam family "Bacterial small subunit ribosomal RNA", at positions 338 to 795 of the family's 1533-position model. The record is from RNAcentral.
CCUACGGGUGGCAGCAGUGGGGAAUAUUGCUCAAUGGGCGCAAGCCUGAAGCAGCAACGCCGCGUGGAGGAUGAAGGUUUUCGGAUUGUAAACUUCUUUUGUUAGGGAAGAUAAUUACGGUAUGUAACGAAUAAGCACCGGCUAACACCGUGCCAGCAGCCGCGGGAAUACGGCGGGGGCAAGCGUUACUCGGAUUCACUGGGCGUAAUGGGCGCGUAGGCGGGUUAGCAAGUCAGAUGUGAAAUCCUAUGGCUUAACCAUAGAACUGCAUUUGAAACUGUUAUUCUUGAGUACUGGAGAGGCAGGUGGAAUUCGUGGUGUAGCGGUAAAAUGCGUAGAGAUCAAGAGGAAUACUGAUUGCGAAGGCGGCCUGCUAGAACGUAACUGACGCUGAUGCGCGAAAGCGUGGGGAGCAAACAGGAUUAGAUACCCUGGUAGUC